CCUACGGGAGGCAGCAGUGAGGAAUAUUGGUCAAUGGACGAGAGUCUGAACCAGCCAAGUAGCGUGAAGGAUGAAUGCCCUCUGGGUGGUAAACUUCUUUUAUAUGGGAAUAAAAUGUUCCACGUGUGGGAUUUUGUAUGUACCAUAUGAAUAAGGAUCGGCUAACUCCGUGCCAGCAGCCGCGGUAAUACGGAGGAUCCGAGCGUUAUCCGGAUUUAUUGGGUUUAAAGGGAGCGUAGGUGGAUUGUUAAGUCAGUUGUGAAAGUUUGCGGCUCAACCGUAAAAUUGCAGUUGAAACUGGCCGUCUUGAGUACAGUAGAGGUGAGCGGAAUUCGUGGUGUAGCGGUGAAAUGCUUAGAUAUCACGAAGAACUCCGAUUGCGAAGGCAGCUCACUGGACUGCAACUGACACUGAGGCUCGAAAGUGUGGGUAUCAAACAGGAUUAGAUACCCCUGUAGUC
RNAcentral lists this ribosomal RNA (460 nucleotides) under uncultured bacterium. Its description in RNAcentral is "partial 16S ribosomal RNA". It matches the Rfam family "Bacterial small subunit ribosomal RNA", at positions 338 to 795 of the family's 1533-position model. The record is from RNAcentral.